RNAcentral lists this ribosomal RNA (291 nucleotides) under Phycisphaerales bacterium. RNAcentral's name for it is "partial 23S ribosomal RNA". It matches the Rfam family "Bacterial large subunit ribosomal RNA", at positions 2626 to 2925 of the family's 2925-position model. Lineage: Bacteria; Pseudomonadati; Planctomycetota; Phycisphaerae; Phycisphaerales. The record is from RNAcentral.
CCAGGUCGGUCCCUAUCUGCUGUGAGCGUUGCAAUAUUGACGGGAAAUGUCCUUAGUACGAGAGGAUUGGGACGGACGUACCCCUGGUGUGCCAGCUGGACCGCUCGGUCCACCGCUGGGUAGCUAAGUACGGCAGGGAUAACCACUGAAAGCAUCUAAGUGGGAAGCCUACCCGGAGAUGAGUAUUGCUUGAGACCCCCGGAAGACUACCGGGUUGAUAGGCCGGAUGUGUAAGAGCAGAAAUGCUUUCAGCUAACCGGUACUAACGGUCGAAGACUUGAUCGUAUCUAC